Molecule: ribosomal RNA, 393 nt
Filed under: uncultured bacterium
Lineage: Bacteria
Description: bacterial SSU rRNA
Rfam family: Bacterial small subunit ribosomal RNA
Source: RNAcentral
CCGGGAUAGCCCAGGGAAACCUGGAUUAAUACCGGAUGAGACGGGACCCGCGAUGGCGGGACCCGGGAAGGCGCUGCGGCGCCGCCGGGGGAUGAGUCUGCGUCCCAUUAGCUAGACGCGGGUAACGGCCCACCGUGGCGACGAUGGGUAGCCGGCCUGAGAGGGUGGACGGCCACAUUGGAACUGAGACACGGUCCAGACUCCUACGGGAGGCAGCAGCUAAGAAUCUUCCGCAAUGGGCGAAAGCCUGACGGAGCCGACGCCGCGUGAACGAAGAAGGCCGUGACGGUUGUAAAGUUCUUUUCGGGAGGGGGAACAACCGUGGCAGGGAAUGGCCGCGGGAUGACGUGAAUCCCGGAAUAAGCCCCGGCUAACUACGGUGCCAGCAGCGGC